This 253-nucleotide ribosomal RNA is filed under the name uncultured bacterium. RNAcentral's name for it is "partial 16S ribosomal RNA". It matches the Rfam family "Bacterial small subunit ribosomal RNA", at positions 524 to 776 of the family's 1533-position model. The record is from RNAcentral.
UACAGGGGGUGCAAACGUUGUUCGGAAUCAUUGGGCGUAAAGCGCACGUAGGCGGUUCGUUAUGUCGGAUGUGAAAGCCCUUGGCUUAACCGAGGAAGUGCAUCCGAAACUGGCGAGCUAGAGUACUAAAGAGGAUCGCGGAAUUCCCGGUGUAGAGGUGAAAUUCGUAGAUAUCGGGAGGAACACCGGUGGCGAAGGCGGCGAUCUGGGUAGAUACUGACGCUGAGGAGCGAAAGCGUGGGGAGCGAACAGG